AUUAUACAAGAUCUGUGCUGUGCAGAUGAUCACGUCUGAGUCCUGCACUACUUUCCCAAAGAAGUCCUUUUCCUCACUCUCUCCACUGACUGGUGUCAAGGUGUAGUCACGGCCCAGGACCAUCACUUUUGCCUGUGGUGUGGUCUCUAAGUGGUUUUUGGCCACAUACACAGCAGCACGGGUCUUUCCACCUCCUGUCGGCAGCCAAAUGAUUAUAUUCUCUCUCCGAAGAGCUCUUUCAACCACCUCUUCCUGAACGGCCUUACUGAGGGAGGCUCUGGAGGAUCAACAGCUGGUUUCCAUCUUGCAGUGACAGAGGAAGCCUGAGCUACACUCAGAAUAACAGGAUUAAGGAGAAACUACUGGCCCGAUUUUUCAUUCCACUUGGUGAAAGCAUGUAGCAUGGACCAUCGAGGAACCCAUUAAAUGUUGGACUGGAUCUGAAUCACGGUGCGAAUACACUAGUUAUGUUUCACUUCCAAUAACAUUGCGAGACAGGGCAUUCAAUCUGAGCAGAAUAAAUGCUAUACAUCUUUAAAUCUAGUAGAUGGUUGUAAAAUACAAUGACUCCCAUCACAAUCCACAUUCAGGAGUACCAGUAGUAGUUGUGGUGGUAGAAGUAGUUGCUCAAACUUGAUACAGAAAGCAGUUCUCAUGGAGCGCUCAGGGACAGUGGUUUCAUGGGAGAACCAGUGCAAUUGCAACACUAUUUCUCAAACUAC
Molecule: non-coding RNA, 722 nt
Organism: Epinephelus lanceolatus (giant grouper)
Lineage: Eukaryota; Metazoa; Chordata; Actinopteri; Perciformes; Serranidae
Source: RefSeq, a predicted model, not a curated record